This is a non-coding RNA of Struthio camelus australis, 1947 nucleotides long. NCBI's taxonomy places the organism in Eukaryota, Metazoa, Chordata, Aves, Struthioniformes, Struthionidae. The record is from RefSeq and is a predicted model, not a curated record.
UGCUGUCAAGAUUUUCCUUUGUACGUAUCUGAUCUGUUUGUGCCAGAUUUGGCUCUGUGCCUUCUCAAAUGAGAGACGCUAUGAUGAGGACUAGCUGGUUGCACGCUCAGUACAGUAAUGGAGACGGUAUGAGAAGCCGGGGUGGGACUGGCUCCUGCUCCGCUGCCGCGCGGCGGCUGAUGAGGAAUACCUGGGGAAGUGGUUAGCAGAGGUGUAUCUUCUUCGGGAGCGCAGUGAAACGGGCAGGGAAAUGCAUCGAUACGAGUAUGUACGUGGUACAGUGUGUAGUGGGGAGGCCAUAAGAGAAAUCAAAGAGUCUGGAAAAUACACUGUUUUCUUUCACAACAAAGCCCUCACAGUAAAGAAUAAAAGUUAUGGCUUUCAUGCGUUGAAGGUUUUCUUCAGCAAAUAGCAGCGAGAAACCAACUUUGACUCCUCUCUCCUCCUCCUGCCACCACUAACAUUUGAGAUUUCCAGAUUAGAUUUGGCAUAAGGGAAGAGAGAGGGUAAAAUCAAAGGUCCUAGAGUCCUGAUGAGUCCUGAUACGGCUUAGCGGUAUGUUCAGGGAAACGCUGGGUCUGGUUCUUCUGCAACUGGUUUUCCAGCGAAAGGAAUUGCCAGGCUCUUCAGCUCAGUGACCCCCGCGUAGGGCAGAAGGGUGUGAGUAACAGGAGCUCCUCCAUCCUGCAUAGAUGUGUGGGCAUAUAAGCCUACAAAUUUUUACUCUCUCUCAUAAAAGUUUGCUUGAACCUACGACUACAUAUUUUGAGAGUGAUUUCAGACGAAUUUCUAACAGUUCCCUCUCCAGGAGGAAUGGCAGCGGCCAAGACCCUGCAGGAUAGCGCUGGCUGAGUUUUCCCAAGGGCUGCCCGUGUCAUGGGGAGCGCUUGGGCUGAAUGGCGGAGUAAAGGGGCUGUGCUGGGAGAAAGUCAAACCAGGGAUUUUUCAGCGGGAUUUCAGGAGCAAGUGGUUGCCUCGCAGCUGGACCUCUCUUCCCGGUCACUAGGAUUACCAAAGUCAACCGGCUGGUGCCAAACGUGCAGAUGCCCCCACGGAAGCCAGGAGACCCUCUGCCUACGUCUGUCCCCAGUUUGCCUUUUGCAGCUCUCGCCAGCAGAUCCCAGCAGCGUGGGCACCUGGGAAGUCUCCGCUGCGGAGGGUCUCAUGCGGAGGGGUUGUCCUGCUGGAUCCGGCCGGCGCUUCCCUGAGUCCAUUGCCCUUGCCGCUGGCAGCACGCUUCAUAGGGAAUAAUGCCACAGCGCCACCUGAGCAGCUGCUCCUGGGAAGAGCUUCCUCCAUCAGUCAGAAAAUAAAGAUUGAUUUGAACACUGCAGCAUAGGGGAUUGUAUUCCUUGCGAAGCUCUUCUUUAAAUUAAUAUUUACUGUUAAACCCCUGGAUCUCUUUUAAUGUAAGCAUCCAGCCUGUGUCCCACUAGCUCUUGUGACGAGGAGCUCCCCAAAAGGAUUGUGUGGCUUUCUUGUUCUAAAUCUCCCGUGAGAAAAAAUAAGUUACUGGACACCCUGAAAACACCGGCACCUUUCACCUGCAACUCGGUCUCUCCUCUCAGACUUUAGCAGGGCCAGGAUUUAGCCAGCACUGGCUGCCCCAGUGCUGAGACGAUGAAGAGGAGAAAUUAAAAGCAAGACGUUUAUAAGCAGAGAGUGAUGGUCUCUUCAGACCAGCUCUGCACGAGCUGCAGUUCCUAUGAUGAAGCAGUUCCUGGGAAGAAACCUGUUUCCCCUUGUUUGUUUUGCUAAGGAACGAUGAAUCUCUCCUCACCUUCUGUUUCUGUUCUGAUAUGGAGAUUUUCUCCUUAACCACAGACCUGAGCAGAGCAAAACUGCCAGCUAUCCAGGGCUGCCAUCACUGGUUUGGGUAGGUGCCUCUUCCUGAUCCUCAGGAAAGGAAAAGAUGCUCAUCCUCCCGCAUAAGGCAGGGCUUGGUUU